RNAcentral lists this small RNA (863 nucleotides) under Vigna angularis var. angularis. RNAcentral describes it as "Non-protein coding transcript". The record is from RNAcentral. Lineage: Eukaryota; Viridiplantae; Streptophyta; Magnoliopsida; Fabales; Fabaceae.
CUCGUCGCUCUUAAGGCUCGCCACUGUGGAAGGUUCGCCAAGGCUCGCCGCUGUUGAAGGCUCGUUGUUGUCGAAGGCUCGUUGUCGAAGGCUAUGCCGCACUCUGCCGUCGUCGAACUGUCGAAGGCUCUACCACCAUCGUCGAAGGUUCUGAGAACACUCUUCCUUUAGCUAGAAGCAAAGGCAUAUCACUCUGCAACCAAAGGUCAGCAAUGCACAGGAAGAAUUGCUUCAUUUGUAUACAGGAAAUGCAAGGAGCAAUCCCCAAAUAAUUCAUGCAACUAAAAGAUGUGCAGCUAACAUUCUGCAAGCCAUUAGUGACUUCUCUCAAGCCAACUGAAAGAAUGUGUCUUCAAGAGAUAUUGGAGAUUGCAUGUCCAGCGGGAAAGUUCUUGGUCCUAGCCAUGAAGUAGUGAUGUUCUACAUGUUUUAUGAGAGAUGGAGGUGUGGUGAAGUUGAGAAUCCUAAGCAGUAUAUGCACAAUUUGAAAGCAGUCUUUGUAAGUUUGAUCCAAUUGUAAGAUUUUACUUAGCUGCAAAUUCAUAUCUAAGCAAGGUGGACCAUGUUUUGAACCAGACACACUUGUUUCUCAUGCUUCCUAUGCUUUCAAUAGCUACUAUCAGACAAAUGGGAAUUUCGAUAUUGCAUACAAUUUUUGAGGCAUUGCUACUUUGACCAAACGUGACCCUAGUAAGUCAAAAUGUUUAUCUCGUUAGGUUAAUUAUGUUAAGUGUUCUGAGAGUGAUUUAGAGGGUUCUAGGUUAAUUAUGUUCCAAGUUAAUUAUCUAUGUAGCAUCCUUUCACUUUUGGUACCAUAAUGAUUUAGAAUGUAAUAAUGAAUAACACUACUUGUGUGAUUGAUG